Molecule: long non-coding RNA, 478 nt
Filed under: Salvator merianae (Argentine black and white tegu)
Lineage: Eukaryota; Metazoa; Chordata; Lepidosauria; Squamata; Teiidae
Description: lncRNA (ENSSMRG00000020906.1)
Source: RNAcentral
GCCUUUGCCUGAUCUUGCUGCAUGAGGAUAACAAAAAUAACUGCAAGAAAUGGAAAAUGGAGGUUGAUGUUGAGGUAAAUUUCUAGGAGUGGACAGUAGAUUGCAACUUUCUUGCUAUAUGCUACUUGCUGCAGUUUCUUCACUGGAAUAAAUCUCAAGUCAUGAAGGAUAGAUGCCUUCAUGCUUGCAGAAGAAGAGGGUCUCACCAAGAAGAGGACUGAAAGCAAUUGUACACUGAGCCCAAAGAUAAAGAGAAUGAGCAACUCUUUCCAGACUGGAUCUGUUGCAAGGAGCCAGAGAGAGGCAUGAUGGGAGAAUCUGUCACUCAUGACACUUUGGGAUUAUCAUGAUUGAACACUCUGUUUUGAUUGUAAGCAGUGGACCAGUUUGUAUGGUCAGCAACGCAGAUUGGACUUUUAGAAGUAUAACAGGUAUGAUUGAUCCAUAGUAGUUUCUGUCGGCUUCCCAAUAUCUUUAU